ACACAAGCUAGUGUCAUAGGAUAAGACA
RNAcentral lists this non-coding RNA (28 nucleotides) under Mus musculus (house mouse). Lineage: Eukaryota; Metazoa; Chordata; Mammalia; Rodentia; Muridae. The record is from RNAcentral.